This 1150-nucleotide long non-coding RNA is filed under the name Amborella trichopoda. RNAcentral describes it as "long non-coding RNA (ATRI_LNC002808)". Lineage: Eukaryota; Viridiplantae; Streptophyta; Magnoliopsida; Amborellales; Amborellaceae. The record is from RNAcentral.
CUUGAUCUAUGUUUGCUUAAUUUGUUCGCUACAAUAAAGUUUGUGUGGGUUGGGUUGGGAUGGACCUGACCUGGAUCCCCUGAAUUAGCCAGAUCAGGCUGGGCCUGGGUCUGGGUCUGGGUCUGGGUCUGGGUCUGUGGGUCCACCUUGUGUCAGGUCCUGUUCCCCACCAAUAUACUUUUAGGUUAGGUCUGGCUCAAUCUGGACCUGACCCGAUUGCACAUCUAGGAUUGGAGAUGCAUUUACGUUGGAGAUGCACAUCUUGGGUCAUAGUUGUACUAUAGGUUUGGGUACUAGUUAUCAGUUCAGGGGUGUCAUUAAGUAAAAUCUUUGGCUUUUGAUGUCGAGCCAUGUACCUGAGACAAUAGAUUCAAUCCCUUAUUCUCACAUCUUAUAGCCUGUUGGUAGUUUUGAGCAGGCAAUGCUACACCUUCAUUUCUUGCAAGUUGCAACCUUUAGCCAGUCUUGAGGAGUGGGAAAUUCUUGCAACGAUGAGGCAUAAAAAUCAGUGAACAAGUUUUCGAUUUUGUGGUGUGACAAGUAGCAGCUUGAUACCUAUCUUUUGGGGUGUUGGGAUUUCACUAUGGCAGAGAUGAUUUGUGAUUUUGAGUUAGCUUAUGUAAGAUGAAGUGACUUUUAUUUUUUUCAUUUUCCAAGUCUAGUUAGCUCCAUAGGUUUGAGAGGAUUCAUAUGAUUCUAGAGAUCGUUAAUUGGAUAUUGGAGCCUUUCAAGAACUUGGUUAGGCUGCCCACGGGUUAAAAAGCAUGCAGAGGGUUUGGUUCUACAUUGGGGAUCUUUUGACCUUGGCCUUCCUAAAUCCAAGGCUUGAUGAAAAGACGUGUUUUGAUAAAAACUCACCGACCAAAUUCGGUUUCUGAUGGACAACAAAAUUUGUUCACUUCAGUUAGUUUGAUAUGAGAACUGGUGAGAGGUUGGUGGUGGUGGCGAGGGGACACCUCCAAAUAAAUUGGGUCAUGCUUUGGCUGGAUCCCGAGCUAAUACCGAAGAACUGUAUAUCUGCGUUGUAUGGCUGGAUCCCGAGCUAAUACCGAAGAACUGUAUAUCUGCGUUGUAUGUUAUUAUAAUGAUAGCGAGCCCUGAUGGAUGUGUUUCCACGAGAACUCUGAAGUGUAUUUAUGGAGGAAUAUUA